This 451-nucleotide ribosomal RNA is filed under the name Polybranchia samanthae. RNAcentral's name for it is "Polybranchia sp. sam PJK-2018 partial 16S ribosomal RNA". It matches the Rfam family "Bacterial large subunit ribosomal RNA", at positions 1817 to 2596 of the family's 2925-position model. The record is from RNAcentral. Lineage: Eukaryota; Metazoa; Mollusca; Gastropoda; Caliphyllidae.
AGCCCGGGGAUGGUAGAUUUCGGGUGAAGCCUGCCCAGUGCUGGAAAUUAAAGUUAACGGCCGCAGUAUUUUGACUGUGCUAAGGUAGCAAAAUAAUUUGGCUUUUAAAUGGAGUCGGGAAUGAAUGGAUUUAUGGGGUGAAGCUGUCUCUAUUGCAUUAAUUUUAACUUACUUACUAGGUGAAAAUACCUAGAUCAAGAAAAAAGACGAGAAGACCCUAGGAGUUUUGAUUAAAAAUUAUUUUAAUAAUUUGAAUUUUUGUUGGGGCGACAAUGGAGUAAUAGCGACGUAAAUUAAACCUCCAUUUACGGAUUUGCCGACUUUGUAUGUAAAAUUAAACUACCCUAGGGAUAACAGCGUAAUUUUUUUUAAGCUUGCGACCUCGAUGUUGGACUAGGAAUUGAGUAGGUUAGCCGCCUACUUUUAUGGUUCUGUUCGAACUAAAUUUCCU